RNAcentral lists this ribosomal RNA (497 nucleotides) under uncultured bacterium. RNAcentral describes it as "partial 16S ribosomal RNA". It matches the Rfam family "Bacterial small subunit ribosomal RNA", at positions 28 to 507 of the family's 1533-position model. The record is from RNAcentral.
GAUGAACGCUGGCGGCGUGCCUAAUACAUGCAAGUCGAGCGAACAGACGAGGAGCUUGCUCCUCUGACGUUAGCGGCGGACGGGUGAGUAACACGUGGAUAACCUACCUAUAAGACUGGGAUAACUUCGGGAAACCGGAUCUAAUACCGGAUAAUAUAUUGAACCGCAUGGUUCAAUAGUGAAAGACGGUUUUGCUGUCACUUAUUGAUGGAUCCGCGCCGCAUUAGCUAGUUGGUAAGGUAACGGCUUACCAAGGCGACGAUGCGUCGCCGACCUGAGAGGGUGAUCGGCCACACUGGAACUGAGACACGGUCCAGACUCCUACGGGAGGCAGCAGUAGGGAAUCUUCCGCAAUGGGCGAAAGCCUGACGGAGCAACGCCGCGUGAGUGAGGAAGGUCUUCGGAUCGUAAAACUCUGUUAUUAGGGAAGAACAAAUGUGUAAGUAACUAUGCACGUCUUGACGGUACCUAAUCAGAAAGCCACGGCUAACUACGUG